CAACAUGGUACACACACAUCUAUACAAGCAAAACAUCCAUGCACACGAACCUUUUAAAACACUGAGUAACGGAAUAAAGCAAUGGGGAAAUUUAGUGAGUAUGCACAAAGGCAGGAGAUGGCAAAGGCACCAGAGUCCCUUCCGGUUACCGAGAGUGCUUUAAUAGGCACCGUAAGAACAGCCUUCAUUCUUGGCCGCUUAGUGUGUGCUGUGCUGGAGUUCAGUCACUGCUCUCUGCCACAGGAAGGGGAGCUGGGCAGAGAACCAGGAGGGAAAGUGGGCUGUUCUCCAUGCAGGUCCUACCUUAAUCAUCCUUGUUUGGUGUUGGGAGUCUUUGCCAGUGUUACCCCUGCUGGGUAGAUUAAUGUUUAAUUCAAGAACAACUGUGAGACUUCUUUAGUCGCCUGUUGGACGAGUCUGUUAGCAUUUUAGUUACAAGCUCAUGACUUACUUUUCCUUGCCUCAGUCAAAAAGCCAGUGUACUCUUGAGUCAUCCCUCCUGUCUGAUACUUAGGGUUUCACUGCUCCCCUCCCUGGGCCUCACAGCCUUCUGUCUUCCUCCUGUCUUCUGUAGCCAGCGCCCGCUUAACCUUAAACUCCCUUAGGACUGAUCUUUUUUCUUCUCUUUGCCACCUACAUCCUACUAACUUGGCCUUGGAGAAACUCGGUCAGUAUGAACCUUCCCUCUAAUUAGCUUUCCUUCUUGGCGGAACCCAUGCCAUGAAAGAUGGUGUUCUCCUGCCAUCUACUGGGGCAAAGGAAAACUGCAGUUGAGAAACAAGCUGUCCAUUUAGGGUGGUUUGUCUAAAGGAUUUCUCAUACAGUCCAUAACUCAAAAUAAACGAUGACACAGCAGUUGCCAUCUUGAAAUGUACCCUUCCCUAUAGAAAGAGUUCUUUGACUCCUACUAUGUCCCUGGACCCAGGCUGAGUCAUGUAUUUCAUAAUCUUUAUUCUAUUUUUGAAGACUGUGCUGUCAAUAGAUCACUGAGGCGGGAAUCAUUUCGUUAAAGUCUUAGCUGUUCCAAAUGCUGUCAGGAGGAUUUGACAUGUAAACAUUAAUUGAUACAUUGUUCUAACUUUUUAAAAUAUUUAACAGAUUGUAAUACAGGAGCCUUGGCAAUUGGUAUUAUACUGGAAUCUUAUAAAUCAUUGGCUCUCUUGCACGGACCAGUGUAGCUGUGUGCCUUCUGGAAGGUGGUUUACUCUGAAAUGCUACUAUCAAUAAAUGCUUGCCAGGAAAAC
Molecule: long non-coding RNA, 1244 nt
Filed under: Rattus norvegicus (Norway rat)
Lineage: Eukaryota; Metazoa; Chordata; Mammalia; Rodentia; Muridae
Description: long non-coding RNA NONRATT015462
Source: RNAcentral